UCUUCAUGGAAAGCAUGGCCAGGCACUAGGACUGGCUGCCCAGGGAGGUGGUGGUGUCACCUUGGAGGUAUUUAAGUGAUGUGUGAAUGUGGCACUAAGGGACACUGUUGAUUUGCAGUGUUAGGUGAUGGCUGUACUUGAUGAUCUUAGAGGCAUUUUUCAACCAAAAUGAGUCUGUGAUUCUAUAAAGUCUCAUCUCUGCCCUUUAGGUCCUUCAGGACACUGAGGCAGGAUGUAAAUUCAUACAGGCGUAGCUAGCAAUAGGACUGGAGGGAAUAGCCUCAACUUGCACCAGAGGAGGUUCAGGUUGGAUGCUAGGAAAAAUUUAUUCUCCAAAAGAGUGGUCAGGCACUGGAACUGGCUGCCCAAGGAUGUGGUGGAGUCACCAUCCCUCCUGGAGCUGUUCAAGAAACAUUUAGAUGUUGUACUGAGGGACAUGGUUUAGUGGGGAGAUAAUGGUGAUGAGUGGAUGGUUGGACUGGGUGAUCUUGAAGGUCUUUUCCAACCUUGGUAUUCUACAAUUCUGUGAUUAGCUAACAAUGGCUGCCAAAGCCAAAUAAUUAUCACUCAUCACCCUCAUCCAACCACUGCAGUAAAGAGCUGGCAGAAUAUUGGUGCAAUACAGAAAGCACAUCAACACAAACUGACUGUCACCAUUCAUUCUGAUUAAAUAUAUGCUUCCUUACACUCCCUCACCAAACAGCCAAGAGCAAGCAGAGAUUAGCAUUAGCUGAUAAGCACAAUGGAGCCUGCUUGAAAAUACUGUCAUCUCUCUUUAGAAGCUGACAGCCGAACUGUUAAGCUAAGAGGUCAGAGUUGAUUGGCUCGAGCAGCAUCUGUAUACAGCCCUGGGAAGGAUGCCAAAGGCUUUUCCAGCUCAGCCCCAUGAGAGAAAAGUUUCCUGCCCUGUGGCUCAGAGGUGAUGGAUGCUCUGUGAGAGCUGCUGGUUAUGUCUCCCAGGACAGACAUUUCCUGACUUGGAGCCUCGGGAACGGAGAGGAAAGUGGGCAGCCACAGCAUAAUCCAGAAGCAAAAUGAACACCACUGGUUUACAAGCAUGGCAUUGCUUGAAACUAGCAGUCUUCACAACUAGGAUGGAGGUAAGUCUUACGAUCUGGGCAAUGAAAUUCCUCUUUAUAACUUGUACAGCAAGGGUAGAGUAGAGUGUGAUGUACUCCAGAGUCACAGAGUGGUUUCAGAUUCGCAAAAAGGCCAACUGGUUUCACUGACAGAGAACAACGGCCAAACUUUUCAUUUUUUUCUGGAAUUUUAAUCUUCCUUGAUAAAAACACUGCUCUUGAAAAGAAAAAAAGAAAAAAAAAAAGAAAAAAGAAAAAAGAAAAAAAAGAAAAAAAAAGAAAAAAAAAGAACAGCACAGAAAACUGUUUUGACUGAAGUCAUUUUUUAUAGAAGCAUUUUCAUAAAUCCCAUUGAACAAUCUUUAAAUAUCUGGGCAAAAUUUUAAACCUUGGUGUCUAAUAUUUGGUUCUUAGGUUGUUAUCCAGACACCCAGACUAGCAGUCUGAUUUUUCCCAAGAGCACAUUGCACAUCCCAUGUCUUUGAUUUCUGCAAAGUGAAGUGCUGAGUGCUUAGCAAUUCUGAAUUACCAGGCCCAUAGCCAAAUUUCUGCAGUCUGAACAUCUAAAAUUAGAUAGCUAAGGUCUCGUCCAAAGCCCAAUAAAGUGAAUGGAAAGGCCA
Molecule: long non-coding RNA, 1699 nt
Organism: Phasianus colchicus (ring-necked pheasant)
Lineage: Eukaryota; Metazoa; Chordata; Aves; Galliformes; Phasianidae
Source: Ensembl